Molecule: ribosomal RNA, 253 nt
Filed under: uncultured bacterium
Lineage: Bacteria
Description: partial 16S ribosomal RNA
Rfam family: Bacterial small subunit ribosomal RNA
Source: RNAcentral
UACGUAGGGUGCAAGCGUUGUCCGGAAUUAUUGGGCGUAAAGAGCUCGUAGGCGGUUUGUCGCGUCUGCUGUGAAAACUCGGGGCUUAACUCCGGGCCUGCAGUGGGUACGGGCAGACUAGAGUGCGGUAGGGGAGACUGGAAUUCCUGGUGUAGCGGUGAAAUGCGCAGAUAUCGGGAGGAACACCGGUGGCGAAGGCGGUUCUCUGGGCCUUACCUGACGCUGAGGAGCGAAAGCGUGGGGAGCGAACAGG